Camelina sativa (false flax) is the source of this 1759-nucleotide non-coding RNA. Lineage: Eukaryota; Viridiplantae; Streptophyta; Magnoliopsida; Brassicales; Brassicaceae. The record is from RefSeq and is a predicted model, not a curated record.
UUACACGGUUACAAAAUAGAAAGGCCCAAAUCGGAACACACCAGAAACUGAGGGCGGUACACCGGAGACGGUUCCGACGCUAAACAAAGACGAUUCCUUUGCAGUUACGACCUCAACAUCAUCUAAUCGUCAUCUUCUAGUGAUAUUAUCCAAGGGGAAGGACCAGAGGUGACCUGGUCGAACUAAAACUAUGUAUGUCGGCGUGCAAAUGGAUAUUUCGUUCAUAGCACUGUGUGGACCAAUUCAGUGGUGAAAGCUCUCCUGUCAAACUUAUACUUCUUGUUUCUAUCUUCAAUCUCCAAACACAUAAUGCUUCACUUUCUCCAUAGAAUCCGGGAUGAUGCACUAUAUGACGCUUCAACAACAACGUUUGUUAUGGAAUUUAGUAUCCUUUUUCUUUGAUCUCUGUAAGUGAUCUUAGAUGGAAUUUUGGGUGGUGGUGGUUUACUCGCUGCUGGCUUAUUUGAGGUUUCCUUCAACAUUGGCGAAUCUAUAGAGAAUGGAGAUAUUGAUUCAAGAUGCCAACGCAAAUGCGACAACAAAUAUAAUAUCAGACUUCUCUAUUUGGUAACAGACUAAACACUUUUCAAAGUUUGUUUAUGUACUCACAUGGAACCACAUAAGAGCUUUCGCAUUGGGUCAAGCUGCCAUAACGUUGCAGCAGCUUCCUCUCUUUAUCAAGGAUACUUUGGCCGGUGGUCUUUAAAGUCCCCUGAGAGAGCCUCCUUCCAACUAUAAGCUUGGUGUUCCUUUCGUUGGUGGCAGCUAAAGAGAAUUUGUGUAUGUAGUCCCCGAUACUGGCCCCAACACAUUGAGCUAGUCCCAGAAGGAGAGAAAAAUUGGUGGAGCUUUGGGGACAAGAUUGAUCCCUUCAAUUCUGGUGUUUAUAACUUAUAUAUGUCAAAAGGGAGGUAGGAGCGUGUUCGUAUAUUGAUGAUCCAGUUGGGUGUCAGUCACUGCUUUCAUGAGCAAUACAUAAGGUUUUUGGUUUAAGAACUCCGGGGGAAUCUAUUAUGCCUGCUAAUAGUCAUAGAGAACUGGAUUCUGAUAGUGUCGACCACUUGGUCUGCAAUUUCUCAUCGGAUCCAAGCCUAAUAGCCUUUGCACAGUUGUGCUGUGACUAAUCUUGGAAUAACACAAAUCUGAUUCUGAUUUCAAGGGGUUCUGCCUACAAGUGUUGUUUGACUGUAUAAGUAAGGGUAGACCAGCUCUGUUGCAGGUUUAUUUAUCCUUGUAUACAACCAUUGGUUCAAUGGCUGAUCUGCUUGUCAAAAGCGAUAGUAACGUGUGUGAUUCACUUUGCAUCUCAAGUCUCAAGGUUGCUCUAGCCUACAACGAGGCGGUAUCAAGUGGAAGAUUGAGCUCUUCAGGUGGCUUUGUACAAUCGAUUUUUUUAGCAGCGCUGAGAAAGAGAUGUGAAGAGAUAUUGAAUUGGUCAACGGAGCUGAAGAUUAGUUUGAGGAACUAUCUGACGACAGAAGCAUGGCCCGAUGAUGAGUAUAACUCAAAGUUGCAGAAAAAUAGAAUCAUUCUGUCAUGGUAUUUGAAAUGGUUCAGCGUACCAUCGCCAUCGAUCAUCAAAGCAGCAGUGGAGAAAAUCAAACCCAAAUCUAAAAACUCAACUUGGGCAAUACCUUUGUGGCGAUUGUUGUUACCAAGUACGCACUGAUGUGUUUUUUUUUUCCUCAAAUGAAACAACUGUUGUAUUGUGUAAAUCAUGGUCAAUUUCAAAUAGGUGAUGAUAAAUCAAUGUUGUAUU